This 633-nucleotide ribosomal RNA is filed under the name Triticum aestivum (bread wheat). RNAcentral's name for it is "partial small subunit ribosomal RNA". The record is from RNAcentral. Lineage: Eukaryota; Viridiplantae; Streptophyta; Magnoliopsida; Poales; Poaceae.
AUGCUGCAGGGUUCCACCGAUGCCUCUGUCGUCGUCAAGCAGGGUGUGGAGUCCUCGGCGGCCCCGGCAGCAGCGCCAUGUGGAAGCAAAGGGAAGAAGUAUCGGCUGAAGAAAAACGAGCUCAGGACCAUAAUUGCCCUCAGGCCGGAGCCGUUCCUGGAAGACGACUAUGUCGAUGACCUGGCCGAGUUCUUCCCGCCGGAGUGGAUCAAGAAGAAAAAACGGGAGCAGGUGGAGGAUGCGGCCUACUUUGGGAAAAUAGACGAGGAAUUCGAGGCCUUCCGGCAGCAGGUGAUCGAGGGGUUCAGGAAGAACGGCUACUUCGAGGUCGACGAGGACUUUCUCGAGGGCAGGGCGGAGGCCAGUGAACACGCCAGGCAAGAAUGGGCCAAGAUUGACUUUAGUGAACUACGUCUCGGUGCUGCUAGACCAAAUCAGGUACAACGGAAAAUUGGUGAUGGGUAUAUUCCUUACGUUCCUAAUGAGGACGAUGCUCUUUUGGAUGAUAUUCCGAGCGAUGAUGAUUCCGUGAGUGGCUAUGAAGUGGAUGAUGCUCGGCUCAGCCACGAACAGGACCUUGAAGGGGAAGGAGCCGAGGAUCUCAAGCUUGUUCCUCCUGUUGAAUCCAGCUGA